RNAcentral lists this ribosomal RNA (480 nucleotides) under uncultured bacterium. RNAcentral's name for it is "partial 16S ribosomal RNA". It matches the Rfam family "Bacterial small subunit ribosomal RNA", at positions 28 to 523 of the family's 1533-position model. The record is from RNAcentral.
GACGAACGCUGGCGGCGUGCCUAACACAUGCAAGUCGAGCGAGUGAAUCUCCUUCGGGAGUGAAGCUAGCGGCGGACGGGUGAGUAACACGUGGGCAACCUGCCUCAUAGAGGGGAAUAGCCUUUCGAAAGGAAGAUUAAUACCGCAUAAGAUUGUAGCUUCGCAUGAAGUAGCAAUUAAAGGAGCAAUCCGCUAUGAGAUGGGCCCGCGGCGCAUUAGCUAGUUGGUGAGGUAACGGCUCACCAAGGCGACGAUGCGUAGCCGACCUGAGAGGGUGAUCGGCAACAUUGGGCCUGAGACACGGCCCAGACUCCUACGGGAGGCAGCAGUGGGGAAUAUUGCACAAUGGGGGAAACCCUGAUGCAGCAACGCCGCGUGAGUGAUGACGGCCUUCGGGUUGUAAAGCUCUGUCUUCAGGGACGAUAAUGACGGUACCUGAGGAGGAAGCCACGGCUAACUACGUGCCAGCCGCCGCCGUAA